Molecule: ribosomal RNA, 270 nt
Filed under: uncultured archaeon
Lineage: Archaea
Description: partial 16S ribosomal RNA
Rfam family: Archaeal small subunit ribosomal RNA
Source: RNAcentral
CAGCACCUCAAGUGGUCAGGAUGAUUAUUGGGCCUAAAGUAUCCGUAGCCGGCGCUGUAAGUUUUCGGUUAAAUCUGUACGCUCAACGUACAGGCUACCGGGAAUACUGCAGCGCUAGGGAGUGGGAGAGGUAGACGGUACUCGGUAGGAAGGGGUAAAAUCCUUUGAUCUAUUGAUGACCACCUGUGGCGAAGGCGGUCUACCAGAACACGUCCGACGGUGAGGGAUGAAAGCUGGGGGAGCAAACCGGAUUAGAUACCCGAGUAGUCC